Long non-coding RNA from Cyanistes caeruleus (blue tit), 876 nucleotides. RefSeq lists it as uncharacterized. NCBI's taxonomy places the organism in Eukaryota, Metazoa, Chordata, Aves, Passeriformes, Paridae. The record is from RefSeq and is a predicted model, not a curated record.
UGAAAAUAUGAAUAAUUGAAUAGGACUGUGUUUCCUAAAGUCUCAUGGAAUAUUUCCUUUGUCUGAAGCUCCCUGGGGCCUGUGCUACUGAAAACACUGUCAGUUAAAGCUCUUCCAUUCUCCAGGAGCUGCCUCAGGAGUGAGAGCACAUUUAUCUCUGUUGUCACACCCCCUCUGCUGAGAACUCAUCUCCUGGCUGCCACUCUGUUUGGGACACCUGGAGGACCAUGAGGUCACAGCAGCAGCUAAAGGAGCAACAGCAGCACUGAAAGAAGGGAAAUGCCAACUCUUCUCUGGUAAGGAUUUCCUGGUGAGAAGCAGUGUGAGAAGGCAGCAGGUUUGCAUUCUGGGCUUCAGCACACACAAGCCCCAGUGCACACAGGAGCACCACAUGGCAGCAUGAGAACUUCAAAAUCCAGGUUCUUCUGUGAAAAUACACCACAAAAAUAUGAAUUACACCUUGGGAUGCCCAUGGUGGGGUGCCACAGCUCGGAUCUGCCUUCUCACCACCCAGCACACAGCCACACAACAGCUUAGCAAAGCUUAAGGUUUCGUUACUUUUACUCUGCUGAUCCCCACCUGGCCCUCGGAUAAAAGCAUCAUCUCUGUACAGCAAGUUGGGAAAGUAGCACAGGGAAUGAGCCAUGGUUUGAAUGGAGAGCUCUGCACCAAGGAUUUUGUGUCUCUCAUCAGGGAACAGGAUCUGUGGUGACUCAGUGAAUAUUCACCAGAAGAGGCACGAGGACAAAUCAUGCAAGCUUGAAGGACCCUACCUGCUAUGAGGACAGCUACUGCCAGUAAAUACCAGUUUAGGGAGCUUUGAACUAAAAACUGUACACAAUACACAGAAAGUUUGGCUUUAUGUGACAAAUUGCA